Arabis alpina (gray rockcress) is the source of this 151-nucleotide small nuclear RNA. It matches the Rfam family "U4 spliceosomal RNA". Rfam says of the family: U4 small nuclear RNA (U4 snRNA) is a component of the major U2-dependent spliceosome. The structure of U4 snRNA from yeast and human has been reported. The record is from Rfam. Lineage: Eukaryota; Viridiplantae; Streptophyta; Magnoliopsida; Brassicales; Brassicaceae.
AUCUUUGCGCUUGGGGCAAUGACGCAGCUAAUGAGGUACUAACCGAGGCGCGUCUAUUGCUGGUUGAAAACUAUUUCCAAACCCCCUCUUUUGUCUGGGCUAGUCUCAGGCUUUAGAGAAUUUCUGGAAGGGCUCCCUCUGGGGUAAAGCC